RNAcentral lists this long non-coding RNA (1287 nucleotides) under Phasianus colchicus (ring-necked pheasant). RNAcentral's name for it is "lncRNA (ENSPCLG00000000444.1)". The record is from RNAcentral. Lineage: Eukaryota; Metazoa; Chordata; Aves; Galliformes; Phasianidae.
AUGAGGAGCUCCAUCAUUUCCACUCACUUACAAAAAAUAUGUUCUUCUAUUUCCCUCUACCCCUCCAUCUUCCUCCUUGCCCUCCACCUCCCUGAUCUCUCCAUCUGCUCCAUCCCUCCCUCUCCCACCUUCAUCUUUCAUCCCUACAGCUCUCCUGGCUUUCCACCUGUCAUCCCUCCACCUUCCUCCUGUUCCUCUGUCUUCCAUUCCACUGUCUCCUUCCUACCUGUUCUCCAUCCUUUCACCUCCCAUCCCUCCAUCUUCCACCCCUCCUGUUCCUCCCAUCCCAUUUCUUAUCCCUCCAUUUCUGCCACCCCUCCAUUUCUCUCAUCCCUCCAUCUUCCUCCCAUCCCUCCAUCUCUUCAGUUUCUCUUUCCUCUUUUCCUCUUACUGUUCAAUUUCUCCCUCCCUUCCUCCUUCCAUCUUCCUCCCUUCUCUUUAUCUCUCAUCCUUCUUUCUGCGUCCUCCUCUCCAUCUCUCUUCCAUUUCUCCUAUCCUUCCACUCUUCCUAACCCUCCAUUUUUCUCUCCCUCCAUUUCUCCCAUCCCUUUAUCCCCCUAUUCCUCCCAUCCCUCCAUCUCCCACAUUUCCACCUCUCCCACCCAUUUGUCUACUGCUCCUCCAUCUCUCCUCCCAUCCUUCUAUUUCCCCUAUCCCCCUAUUCCUCCCAUCCCUUUACCUCCGAUCUCUACAUCUUCCACUACUCCAGCUUUCCUCCGUUUCUCCCAUCCCUCCAUCUUCCUCCCAUCCCUUUAUCCCCCAUCUCCUCCCCAUCCCUCCAUCUCCCACUCUUCCACCUCUUCCAUCUACCUUCCAUCCCCAGUUCUCCCCCUUCGCCUCUCUCUGCUCUCUCCUCCUCCUUCUCUUCCUCCUCCUCCUCCUCCUCCUCCUCCUCCUCCCCCCCUCCCCCUGGCUCGCCUCCUCCUCCCCCGCCCGGUACCGCAUUGCCGUAGUGCGGGGGGGCCGCUGCAUUGCGCUGCCGCCGUCAAUAGGUGGGCCCCUCCCGGGGAGAUAAAGCCGCCGGAGCCCAAGCUGGCAGCCUCUGCCGCCCCGACCGCCGCUCCGGUAAGAGCUCCAGCCCCCCCCCCCGGGAUCAGGCUGCUCGGAACGGGGGGGGGAACCUGGCUGAACGGGGGGGGGGGAUUGCUGGGGCGGGGGUACGAUGCAUGUGCAUGGGGUGCUGCUGGCAUCGAGAGUGGGGGAGACCCCUGGGAUGGAGGGAGGAGAUGGGGUUGGGCCGCUUCUUCAGCCCGCAGGUGGGAAACAGCCUGCAUCCUGAAAGCUUGA